Molecule: long non-coding RNA, 1484 nt
Organism: Dromaius novaehollandiae (emu)
Lineage: Eukaryota; Metazoa; Chordata; Aves; Casuariiformes; Dromaiidae
Exons: 4
Source: RefSeq, a predicted model, not a curated record
GGAAUUUUUGAUGGCAACUUUGUUUCCUGAGGUCUUCAAGUUUGGAUACUUUCUUGAGCCUUGUAGCUGAACAGGUAGACAUAGCUCAUGACAGGUGAAAACCACCCCAGCAAUGUCACUACUUGGACAGCCAGAAGAGGCAUUUAAAGCAGUUUGAGAAAAGGCAUGGAAGCCUGAGAAGUGAGGAAACAUAUUGCUGUAUCAUGUACAACUGAAGUCAGUGAGAGCUGGAUCAGGACUCAAACUGGCAAAGAGUGCAGGAUGCACGUAAAGGACCUUUGCAAAUAAAUGGAGAGCUGUGCCGUGCUUCCUCACCAUGAACAGCUCCUGUCACAUGACAGCCUUCUCCAACCCAGUGACAUGACUUGCAUGAGUUAGGAGGACCGAAUCCAGCUUAGGGAAACUGAUGGACUAUGGAUAGAAACAUCUCUGAAAUUUAUUUCAAGAUGAGUCCUCACAAAUACAGCUACACUUCUGUUUUUUCCCAAGCUUUACAGGAAAUUUUAUCAGAAAUGUCAGCUACCAAGGAAAAACAGAGAUGACAAAGUCUGAUUUCAUCAUGAAAGGAAAGUCUGUGCAAUUAUGAAGUCAUAUUACCAGAAUCAGAAAUCUUACUGUCAUUCUUCAGGCAAGAUCACUGACAAAAACACAAUCUCCUCCACUAACCUCACAGACUGUUUAUAUUCAAGGCUUACUGUAAAUGUAUGGUACUCUUAAAGUAGACAUAAUGUGCACUUUGCUUCUUCAAAGUGCUGUGCAAUCUUUCCUGAUUACUCCUCACAGCACUCCUGGGAGGUAGUUUAGAGACCCACGUAAGGCCACCAAGUAAAUGAACUAGGAUAAGAACAUGGCAGCGCCCAUCUCCUGGGGGUGGGUGUUGCCUGUUAGGCCACGCUGCUCUCCUAGGAAGGGAUCCUAAUAAAUUCCAAGCUUUAUGGGAAAGAUGUUCUAUUCAAAAACUUAAAAAUGUAAAGCACUCUCUGGAGUAGAAAAAGGAAACAGGAAUUCUCAUGUUAUCCUUUAUUCCAAGUUAACCCAAGAAACACAGUUGCAGUGGAACACAAUGUAGUCUAGAAGCAAAAUACAAUCAAUACAGAGGGGAAAAGCUCCUAUUAAAAAAGAGAUUUUUUUUAGUGAUUGAAACAAGUAUCUGGCUGAAACCUCAGAUUGCAACCAGAGGUGAUUAAUUUUUUCUCUCCCCUACUGUAUGAUGAAAACCAGAAAGCUAAAUAUUAAGCAAUGUCAUCUAAUGACAAUAUAUUUUUUCUCACAACGUUGUAAAAGUGGCAAAAUAUGGGUCUGUAAUUGCUAUUAGAAUUGCUAUUCAGUGGCUUGCUUACCACGCAGACUGCUUACUUCCCACAAGGGAGUGUUUUGGUACACCUGUGCUCCUGGAGAAUGAUGUUAGCACAAAAAUUCUCUUGCCUUUCCACAUGUAUUUGCUCACUUACAGUCUUUUCUAGACCUAGUUAAUGUUAUUUUAA